AAGCACAAACAAGCUGAAGGUAGAUAAGUUUCGCAAGAACUCAAGAAGUUUCUCCAAGUAGGGGUAGAGUGAGGCUCCCAGUGGUUAGCAGAUGGUGUCCUGACCAGAGCUGAGGGAGUGGAUAAGAGCCAGAGGCUGAGAGAAAGCCCCAAUACUAGAAGCAGAUGGGGCACAGUUGGGGCAAGAAGAAGUGCCCCCAGCCCAAGCCAAGCAUGGUAGCACAUACCUAUAGUCAAAGAACUUAGAAGAUAAACACAAGAAGAUACGGAAUUUGAGGUCCUCAUGAACUACCUAGUACGUUUCAGGCUAGUCUGGAAAAAAAAAUAGUGUCCCAGUCUCUCAACUUGCCCUGUGAUGCCCUGACACUGUCUCCACUUGGACAAACUCAACAUGAAGGCAAGGGUAUGUGGUCCACAGGGACCAGCGUCCAUAUGGAGAGCAAGGUCAAGCAUGGCCCCAGAGAAGAGCAUCAUGUUCUCCCAGGUUACUCCAGCAUCACAGUGCAAAGAAGCAAUCGCCCGCCAUGGAAGGAGACCACUGAGGAAAACAACAGGAUUCAGCCUCAGUCUAGUGACCACAUUUUACCUUGGAUCUCACAUUCCAGUAUGUCAGCGUGCCUGGGGGACCUGAAGCAACCACACUUCUCUUAUCAACUUUGUCCAGCCUACCAAAAGUGGCCCAUGAAGCUUCCACGAUUUGCCCCUUGGAAUUAGGGCAUUGAGUGAAUUGAUCUUGGUUGAGCACCUAUGAGACCCAGUACCAAUCUACAGCACAUCCAAUGUAGCUUGACAGUUAAAUACACUUGCUUGGAGAUUAAAAGUGAGAGGUUCAAUGGUAGAUCACUGGAAUGGCAGGUUCAAAGCCCGGACUCCAUCCUAACCCUAGAAAAUUUAAAAAAAAAUCAACUCAGUUUGGAAGCAGGUCAAUGGGGAGGGCUCGGCACAGAGACAUUCCAUCAUCUCCCAGGGAAGAUGUGGCAGAUGGAAAACGGGGAUCACCAGAAGUAAGGGGUUUCCCAGGGACUCUCCUAGUGAUGACUUUUGAACCCAACCUAAAGUCAGUUAACAGCCCACUGCACACCGGACGGCACCUUUCCCAUCAGAAGCCGCCAUUGUUUUGAAGAGGCAUAGACAAAUGCAUCCUAUAGUCUUAUAUGUCCAGUGAUUAUUGCUUCUUUAUCGUGGACAGAUGUGCCUGGGUAGGGGCCUGGUGGCCUCCUUGACUGGCAGUUACAAGAAUCAUUCAGAAAGAAGGAAGAUGGCAGAAACCGGAAGUGCAAUGUUAACACAAGGGGACCGGGCUGAAUUCGUCUUGUCCUUUUAUUAUAACUAAUAGUGGCAGGGACUUGAGUAGGGGCCUCAGGAGCCCUACCCAUGAGAUAGCUACCCCUCAUAUCCUGGCCUCCAAAGCUGAAAGAUGACCCUGCCUCACCUACAAGACCUUGGGACACUGUCUCUGCACUCAGAAAUCUAGGCUCUGGGAAGUCAAUGCUGAGAUGUUGGAAAUGAACUUGGAUACAAACUAGACCGGUCUUUGAGCCCUGAAGAGAAUCUUUUCUAUGUGACAGUGAGAACUUAAUCUUGCAGACCUCAGUUUCCCCAUCUAUGAACUCCUGACGUCGGGUGCACUGAGGUCAUGUGUUUGAGCGGGGAAGGGAACACGGCACCGAGGAAGCCAAAGCUGUGGUCUCCUGCCAGCUCAGGCUAGGGAUAGCUGAGCACACCGAGUUCUUUAGACAGACUCGAGGCUGGCUCCUGUCUGGCCUCGGAGCUCCCUGGCCAGGGUUUCCUGUUGUCCUCCUUUUAGUCCUUUCAGGGGAGGAAGCGUCUUUCUCUGGAGACCUUUGUCCUGAGCGCAGCCCUGGAAUGCUGAAGGCCAUCCACUUCGUGCUGAGUGUGUUGAACCACUUUCUGGGUUUAAGAAAAUAUAUUAUUGUUUACCUAACAGUU
This 1949-nucleotide long non-coding RNA is filed under the name Mus pahari (shrew mouse). Its description in RNAcentral is "predicted gene 11497 (MGP_PahariEiJ_G0004650.1)". Lineage: Eukaryota; Metazoa; Chordata; Mammalia; Rodentia; Muridae. The record is from RNAcentral.